Molecule: non-coding RNA, 74 nt
Organism: Manacus vitellinus (golden-collared manakin)
Lineage: Eukaryota; Metazoa; Chordata; Aves; Passeriformes; Pipridae
Source: Rfam
AAUGUGUUAGCUCAGUCGGUUAGAGCAUGGUGCUAAUAACACCAGGGUUGUGGGUUUGAUCCCUAGAGGUUUUA